GGGGGCAAAAUGCGAGUUUGUGGGGGGUGUCAGGGUCCCCUGAACCGGCUCAGAGUUCCGCCUCUUGUGAUAGGAAGCGCCUGCUAAAUAGUCCCGGCUAUUCAGCGCUUCCGCCUAACUUGCCGCAAAGUUUUUCUAGAGAAGUCGCCUCUUUUACUCAGCGCUCCUGCAGGCUGCUAGAGCUAACCUUCCUCUUCUUAGCUGGGUUUGCACUACGCUCGGGCCUUUUGAACUUUGCUUCUCCCACAGCCUAGGAGCUGGAGCGGUAGCGCGGCGACCGUGUGCCUCCGCGCGCCCGAGGGGAGCCGGACCCCGGAGGAAGGGGCGGAUCGGGCGCGGUGUUUGGGACGGAGCGGGGCGCGCGGCGCUCGAAGCACCCACUCGGCGCAUUCCGGGGCUGGUGGAGACAGCAUGGGUACUGCUGCGACCGCACCCCUCGAGCCGUAGAUUCGCGGGCCCACGGGUGUCCGACUCGACGGCGUCCCCAUUGUGGGUCCAGUCUUUGGUCAUUGGAGGUCUUUUCUUGCAUCUACGCUCAGCUCUCUGGCGCGCGCUCCCUCCUCCACAGAGUUGGCCAAAGGCGCCCUUCUUGCAGACCCCAACCACACCCAGUGGCCGAUGGAUUUCUUUGUAACUGGCUUUCUCACUUGUAGGGUCCAUUUUGAGGCUGUUCUUAACAUGGUGUCCUCAUUGUCAAGUAGACAGUCUCUUCCUAGAUGGAUAUGGUAAUGGAGAAUAUAUAGGGUGAAUGUAUAUAAGGUGAAAUGUUGUAACUCUUUUAAGUAGACCAACAAUACAGGGUAGCUUUAAGGUUCAGAAUACAAAAGUUUAGGUUCAGUUUUGCUUAAUUCGGGGGGGGGGGGCGUUUAGUAUUUGUGAGCUAUUGUAGCCAAAACAUUCGUUGGGUAUGUUUGGAUAUCAAAAGUCUAAAAAACACCAGAAAAAUAAAAUAAGUCAAUAUUUAAGGAAUUCGUAAGAAUGCUGAACUUUGGUUAUAGCAGUGGUGAAAAAGACACUAAACUGUACAUCAGGAUAGGAAUUUCAUUAACUUGAGUGACUGUGUUAGGUUUAGUUUACUGUUUUUUUGUUUUUUUAUGCAGCCAGGGAUCUGAUUUGAGUGUACCUUAAAGUUAGUAUUCUCAGGUUGAACAGAUAGAAACCAUUUAAGUUGAGGGAGUGAAAUAACCUGACAUUUUUCAAAGUUUUAGCUGCAAAUCCAUAGAAAUGAAUUUAUUAUCUUUUAGCAAAACUGUAUGUUUCUGAUACUUAUAAAGGAAGACAUUGCAUUGGGUUAACAUUUUUCAGGCCAUUAGCAUUUCAUGAGGAUGGUAAGCAUAGUAGACCACGUUCAUUUUUGUUAAAAUUCUUAUAAAUAAGAUGAGCCCCAAGUGUAGAAAAUUGUUAACAAAAGGGGAGGGAGGGAAAAAAUGCAGGUAUCUGACCUGUUUUGCACAUCCAGACUAUUCCUUAUUGUUGCAGUGAAAGUAAGAAUCAAUGUCAGUUCAAAAUGUUAUAUCUGUUUUUAUGGAAGGGUAAAAGAAUAUACAACCACAGUGAAUACCUAUCUGUGCAUCAAUAUGUAUGAACUUUUAAAUGGUUGAGUUUUUUUUUUUUUUAGAAAUUAUUAUCACACUUUAAAUCCUAUUCUGUUCUUUCUUUAUAGUGUUAUGUGGUUCCAAGUUUUUGUAUCUUGAAGCAUUCCAGAAGAUAUAUUUUAGUAUAAAUACACAAUUUGACUCCAGAAUGUACUUUAAACAUGUCCUUUAAUGUACUUUUAUUGUUACUUUUCUGUUUGGAAUUGUUCUUAUGGAAGUAUUGUCUGCUUUAGAUCACUUAAUACAACCUUUUGUGGGAGGGGAGGGGAUGAUGAAAGUUUUGAGUCUUGCUCAGUUAUCUUCAGGGACUCUACCAGAAGUUUUGUGAUAAAGCACUAUAAGGAGAAGGAAAGAAUUGUGGUGAAGUUGAAAUUUUUAUUAUCGGAUUCCAGGUGUGUAGGCUCUGAAAGUUUUAGUUCUGUAUGGGGGUGUUGGCUUUACAUGGUAAGCAAUUUUCAUGGGAUGUUAGAAAGCACAAGUGAGUAUAAAGAGGUAGUGUGGUGGUAGUGGUAGUAGGAUAUCUUGCUUGGAAUCAGAUCUAGAUUGUUCUAGGUUUGUGAUUUUUUGGGCAAGAUUCAUUUUCCUGAUCUUGAAAUAAACAAAGAAAGUGAACUAGAUUGAGCCUAACCUCCCUUCUAAACUUUGAGUUUUGUGAUUUUUAUAAAUUUAUGUUAUGUUAUCAUGGAGUAGCAAUGAUGGGUUAUGGGCCAGAAGUGGAGAAGGUUUUCUUUUUCCUCUUAAAUUUAAACACAUAAUAUGAAGCAUAAUUGAAUCAAGAGUAUAAAAACAUUCUUACAACAGGUUUUACAGUCAGUUUUAAAAUCUUGGUCUUCAUUUCCAGAUAUCGUCUCUUUUGAUCACUGUUCCUGAUUGUGGCUUUGUCCAAGCAUUAAAUUGCGUGCCUUUUGUUCCUUGAAGAAGGAGGUACUGGGAUACCACAGUUAUCAUAUAAUUCCUCUCACCAAAUACAAAAAAGUAAUAUGAUGAAGAAUGAAAACUUCAAGUAAUGAAGUAAACAAGAGGCUGCUCUAUGAUGACUGACCAAAAUGAUUUGGAUUAUUCCAUCUUAAAAAUUCUGGUGCUAACGAGUCCCAACUCAGCCUCUGG
Molecule: long non-coding RNA, 2702 nt
Organism: Mustela lutreola (European mink)
Lineage: Eukaryota; Metazoa; Chordata; Mammalia; Carnivora; Mustelidae
Exons: 4
Source: RefSeq, a predicted model, not a curated record